Molecule: small nucleolar RNA, 132 nt
Filed under: Rhinopithecus bieti (black snub-nosed monkey)
Lineage: Eukaryota; Metazoa; Chordata; Mammalia; Primates; Cercopithecidae
Description: Small nucleolar RNA SNORA70 (ENSRBIG00000004372.1)
Rfam family: Small nucleolar RNA SNORA70
About the family: snoRNA U70 seems to be exclusive to mammals and is a member of the H/ACA class of snoRNA which contain H (ANANNA) and ACA box motifs. H/ACA box snoRNAs are involved in the conversion of uridines to pseudouridines (5-ribosyluracil) a constituent of structural RNAs (transfer, ribosomal, small nuclear, and small nucleolar).
Source: Rfam by way of RNAcentral
CUGCAGCCAAUUAGCCACUGAGUUCCUUCCUCAUGGGCCCAGUGUGCAAUGGCUGCAAACAAGCAGCUUCCCUGGUAGUGGAUGCAACCUGUUGUUGUAUGGGUUGCUCUAAGGGACCUUGGAAGGACAGUC